Molecule: ribosomal RNA, 767 nt
Filed under: Stenotrophomonas maltophilia
Lineage: Bacteria; Pseudomonadati; Pseudomonadota; Gammaproteobacteria; Lysobacterales; Lysobacteraceae
Description: bacterial LSU rRNA
Rfam family: Bacterial large subunit ribosomal RNA
Source: RNAcentral
GAUUUGGUUCUAGGAAAACGCUCUGGAAAGAGCGGCCAUAGAAGGUGAUAGCCCUGUAUCUGAAAGGGCCAUUUCAGUGAAGACGAGUAGGGCGGGGCACGUGAAACCCUGUCUGAACAUGGGGGGACCAUCCUCCAAGGCUAAAUACUACUGACCGACCGAUAGUGAACCAGUACCGUGAGGGAAAGGCGAAAAGAACCCCGGAGAGGGGAGUGAAAUAGAACCUGAAACCGUGUGCGUACAAGCAGUAGGAGCUCCGCAAGGAGUGACUGCGUACCUUUUGUAUAAUGGGUCAGCGACUUACUGUUCGUGGCUAGCUUAACCGUAUAGGGGAGGCGAAGGGAAACCGAGUCUGAUAAGGGCGCAUAGUCGCGGGCAGUAUACCCGAAACCGGGUGAUCUAGUCAUGCCCAGGGUGAAGGUGCGGUAACACGCACUGGAGGCCCGAACCCACUCCCGUUGCAAAGGUAGGGGAUGAGGUGUGAUUAGGAGUGAAAAGCUAAUCGAACCCGGAGAUAGCUGGUUCUCCUCGAAAGCUAUUUAGGUAGCGCCUCAUAUGUAUCCUCUCGGGGGUAGAGCACUGUUAUGGCUAGGGGGUCAUCGCGACUUACCAAACCAUUGCAAACUCCGAAUACCGAGACGGACUGUAUGGGAGACACACAGCGGGGUGCUAACGUCCGUCGUGAAAAGGGAAACAACCCAGACCCACAGCUAAGGUCCCAAAUUUAGUGCUAAGGGGAAAAUCCAUGUGGAAAGGCACAGACAGCC